RNAcentral lists this ribosomal RNA (253 nucleotides) under uncultured bacterium. RNAcentral describes it as "partial 16S ribosomal RNA". It matches the Rfam family "Bacterial small subunit ribosomal RNA", at positions 524 to 776 of the family's 1533-position model. The record is from RNAcentral.
GACGUAGGGCGCGAGCGUUGUCCGGAUUUAUUGGGCGUAAAGAGCUCGUAGGCGGCUUGUCGCGUCGACCGUGAAAACUUGGGGCUCAACCCCAAGCCUGCGGUCGAUACGGGCAGGCUAGAGUUCGGUAGGGGAGACUGGAAUUCCUGGUGUAGCGGUGAAAUGCGCAGAUAUCAGGAAGAACACCAAUGGCGAAAGCAGCUCUCUGGGACGGUACUGACGCUGAGACGCGAAAGCGUGGGGAGCGAACAGG